AAUAAAUAUCUCGCUAACAUGAUUGCAUCAAAUGUUAUUUCAUAUGGUAAAACACCAUUCUUUUUAUUUAGUUGUCAUUUUUCAUAUCAUUGUCAGAAUCAGACCGAAGGAUGGAAAAACCAAGAGAUCACCAAGUGGUGGGUCCGCAACUGCAGGCCACUAAGAGGAACCAAAAUUCUUCUUUCCUUAGAACUUUCACUAAACUAAAGCCUAAAAUGAGGUAAAAAGCCUGCACAAAGGUUAAACAACAAUAUUAAAUCUCAUUUAACAUUAUCUGCAAGUUCUAUUAUAUGCCCUUGCUUGUCUUUUUCCUUAGUUUAUACCAGACUUCUUUCUAUUUCUCUGUGUGUUUCUUCUUAUGCAUUGUCACGCCCCCUACUUCUUACUCAUUAUUGCACACAAUUUUAUCAGUUUCCCAGAAGUAUAUGCUGAAAAGCAGAUAUAAUCUUUUGCUUUAACUACUUAAGAAAUUGAGCACUACUGUGAGAAGUGAGCACUGAGUAUGAGCUCUCACCAGAGAUGCAAUGCUUUCUUUUAUAUAUAUAAUGGGAAAGCAGCGAGGGACAUUGAUGAAGAUCUUGAUUCUAAUAAUAAUUU
This 597-nucleotide long non-coding RNA is filed under the name Phoenix dactylifera (date palm). RNAcentral describes it as "long non-coding RNA (PDAC_LNC020590)". The record is from RNAcentral. Lineage: Eukaryota; Viridiplantae; Streptophyta; Magnoliopsida; Arecales; Arecaceae.